UAAUACGGAGGGGGCUAGCGUUGUUCGGAAUUACUGGGCGUAAAGCGCGCGUAGGCGGCUUUGUAAGUUAGAGGUGAAAGCCCGGGGCUCAACUCCGGAAUUGCCUUUAAGACUGCAUCGCUAGAAUCGUGGAGAGGUGAGUGGAAUUCCGAGUGUAGAGGUGAAAUUCGUAGAUAUUCGGAAGAACACCAGUGGCGAAGGCGACUCACUGGACACGUAUUGACGCUGAGGAGCGAAAGCUAGGGGAGCAAACGG
This 255-nucleotide ribosomal RNA is filed under the name uncultured prokaryote. RNAcentral describes it as "partial 16S ribosomal RNA". It matches the Rfam family "Bacterial small subunit ribosomal RNA", at positions 521 to 775 of the family's 1533-position model. The record is from RNAcentral.